Molecule: long non-coding RNA, 594 nt
Organism: Camelina sativa (false flax)
Lineage: Eukaryota; Viridiplantae; Streptophyta; Magnoliopsida; Brassicales; Brassicaceae
Source: RefSeq, a predicted model, not a curated record
CACCUAAAUUAGAAACGCUUUUUUUUUUUUCUCGCUUCGGGGUUUUCGCAUGAAGAAAUGCUUCGAUUCGACGACUGCUGUGGAGAUUCACGCACGAAACCAUUACAAUCGACUGGGCUUCUUCUUCUUCCUCGUGGUGACUUGAUAAGAUCUCUUCGGUUAAUUCAGGCACAAGACUAGUUCAAUCGGCUGGGAUUAUUCUCCGUCGUGAUUAUUUGGUAAUUAAGAUCUAGGGUUUGUUUGUUUUGAUUCGGCACGAAACUAUUUAAUCGGCGGCUUGGUUUCUUCUUCCUCCUCAUGGUCAGAUUUCUUCCUCUGAUCCUCGCUUCGUGUGUAAUUUUUUUUUUUUUUUGCAAAUUGAUUUGAUUCUCUACUACUACGGAGCUUAUUGAACUGUUUUUGAUUCAAAUGUUUUAUUCACUUAGUUAGUGAGAACUCUAUUCUUUAGCAGGGAUUAUUUUAUGGCUUUGUUUGCGUUUGUAUUUUACAGAGACGAACUUUUCCAUUGUGUAUGGUCAUGUAAUUCUGAUUAUAAAGAUGACACUAAAUCAGGUUCUUCGAAUCAUGAUACAAUGAUUUGUAAAUCAGGUUUUU